GCCCGCCCUGAAUGAAUGCCCACGCGCUAUUCUCUCGGCGCGGUUUCGCUCAGCGCGUUUAUACGUCCGAUCGGCUGAUUAAUGCAGUGAAAUGAGACCCGCAAGAGAAUCUGGACGCGCGGAGCGUGCCAUCGUCUUUUCACAGAAUCAACACUCAAACUGAAUCAUAUAAACUAAUUUUGAAUUAAAAGUGCUCAUGUUGUGGUGAUAUGUGACAGAAAAUUUAAUUACAGUGUGAAAACUUGUAAACGCUGAGAAAACUUGUGCUAAACUGAGGUGGAAAUGUCAGUGGUUACGAAUGUUACGAUGGAUUAUGAGUGUUGGCUUACAGAAACGACGACGCGGUAGAGAAUUGGAGGACCCUGAGGACUGGUUGCAAUUGGCGUUCGUGUCCUUCAGGUACAACUGCCAGGUGGCCGUCGAAUUGAAACUCUUGUCGGCGGCGUAGCACCGCCAGAGGCUUUGGAUAAGCAUGGCCGCCGCUGGAAUCUGACGGUUGAAGUGCUUCUGGCGCUGCUUCUGUUGCACCUUUAGUGCAAAACCCGAACCGACUGGAAGAGCAAAGAACGAAAUGGCAAAAACGCUGAAACAUGACGCGACAAUCUUGCCCAUCCACGUGCGCGGCACUG
Long non-coding RNA from Dalotia coriaria, 629 nucleotides. RefSeq lists it as uncharacterized. The transcript has 3 exons. NCBI's taxonomy places the organism in Eukaryota, Metazoa, Arthropoda, Insecta, Coleoptera, Staphylinidae. The record is from RefSeq and is a predicted model, not a curated record.